GGAUGAAAUCAACUCUAAUUGAAGUAACAAGGGAGUUUAGGAGUGGUUGUUGCAGCCUCAAAUAGACCAAAUCACUAAGAAUGAGUGAAAUUCUCAUAAGAAAUUGCUAGAUUUUGGAGAGCAAUUGUGGCUCCUCUCGCUUCUUCUCUCGCGUUCUGUAAAGAGGAGAAGAUGGUGACUGGUUUCUUCCAUCAUGGGGAGGCUCUUAGAGAUGAAAAGAUGUCGGUAAGGAUGGGAUUUGGCUAGAA
RNAcentral lists this unclassified non-coding RNA (248 nucleotides) under Hevea brasiliensis (rubber tree). The record is from RNAcentral. Lineage: Eukaryota; Viridiplantae; Streptophyta; Magnoliopsida; Malpighiales; Euphorbiaceae.